GUGGUGCCAUGUCUGCGCCCAGGAUCCAAACUGGCAAAACCCUGGGCCACUGCAGCGGAGCGCGCAAACUUAACCACUCGGUCACAGGGCUGGCCCUAUCCUCAGCUCUUGAAUUCCCCUAUGGACCAUCCUCUCAGAUGGAGCUACCUGCACCAUGGGUUUCUCCAUCACUAAUUGCUGUUUACUACAUAGGCUUCAUAUCAUUACUAUGAAGAGGUGGUGAUGCCUGCAGUCAAGUCACUCAGAACAUUCUGCUCUAUUUGGGAUGGAUCAAUACCAGGAAGUCCCCUGAAGCUUCAAGAACCCAUGACUGCUAAUGAAGCCACAAAUCAUGUGUUGGAAACGUGGAUAUCUGGCAGCCAUUGUUUUGACUCUGUGCUCACUAUGAAUAUGAAAAGGAUUGGAAAUGAGAACUAGGCUUUCCUAAUGCUAACCAUGACCUCUUGGUUUUAUCUCUAGUGGAGCUGAGCUAUUCCAUGCCGAUCUUCAGACAAUAAACUUCACAUGAACCCCACAACCUAACUGCUAUAGGUGGAGUGGGGUGAGCUGGAGGUGCCAUCUAGUUAGGCUGUCUAGUCUCCGAGGCAGAGCUUCACGGGAUGACACUCCUCUGCGCAGUCACAGUGGUCGUGUCUGUUCUCAGGCUGGGGGUUCAGAGCACCAUUUUCAUUAGUGCACCAGAUCCAAGGGAUUCUCAGGAGCUGACUGGCAGUAAGCUAACUCUUAAAGGCCAGAUGAGUGAGCCAGAGUGCAAACUUAUUAAUUUAACAUGCAGAGAUGAUCCAUUCUGCAACCACAAAGUUCCCGUCUGCAAAUCAGAGCACCUUCUUUGUUGUAUUUGAGUCUGAGAGAAAGCAAAUUGUGAUAUGGAUUUGUUUGGCAAAAUGGAACCAGAAGAGAGAUGUGGGGUCUUAAGGAAUGAGGCACGAGUGUCUCGACUCUCCAUGUGCUGGUGUGAGUGCGCUCAGCCUCACUCCGUCCUGGAUUGGGCUGGGUGUAAACACUGUCGAGUGGCUCUUAGGGCUCAUCUUCUUUAGGACUCCAAGACAAACACAUUAUUUCUCUAACUGUUUAUGUCUUUGAUCGGGCUACAGAUAUUAUAUUGUCAAACUGAAGUGAUUAAGACCAGGGCAUUUGGGGUACGGAAGACAGGAAUUUGUUCAAAUUUUAACUUUACCAUUUACUAACUGUGUGACACUGAGCAAGUUAGUUCACUUCUGUAAGCCUUGGUUUACUUAUUAGUAAAGUGGGAAUAAUAAUAGUAUUCCAGGGUCCUUGUGAGGACUGAGUGAGGUAAUUCAUAUACAGCACUUGGCACAGUGUCUGAUAAUAUUCAAUCAAUUUUUAAUUGGAUGGAGGAAACAUUACUCUUUUUACCUGUUGGCCCUAGGAGGCACUGUGGCUUCAGCACAUUUCUAAUCACUUUGAUUAUGCGUUGGCUGUACUGUGUUAGCUCUGAGAGUUUUCCGGCAGCCUCCCUACUGCUUUCUCUACUGAGCCCAUGACCUGACUCCAGGGAACAUUAGGGCCAUAAGAGACAAGGGCAACAGAUGUUGUACUAGGAGAAGGGCCACCCGUCCUGUCUGAACUGCCCUAUCAUGUCCGUUCUCCGCCAAAGUGAUCCUGUUUACAGGGCUGGCUUCAAACGGUUCUCCCUCCUCCUGGCACGCCUUCUUCCUGUUGGCUGCCAAAGAGUCUGAAGGUAGAUAUGUUAUGGGGAAGUCCUUUCCAGCUGAGUUUCAUAAAUUCUGGGAAAUAGAAGAGUUGGACCUAUAUGUGGUAAUCAUUUCACUAUAUAUAUGAAUAUCAAAACACCUUAAAUAUGUAUAAUUUUUAUUUAAAAAAUAAAGUAAAAAAGAAAAGU
Equus caballus (horse) is the source of this 1864-nucleotide non-coding RNA. The record is from RefSeq and is a predicted model, not a curated record. NCBI's taxonomy places the organism in Eukaryota, Metazoa, Chordata, Mammalia, Perissodactyla, Equidae.